CUCCUACGGGGCGCAGCAGUAGGGAAUAUUGCUCAAUGGGGAAACCCUGAAGCAGCAACGCCGCGUGGAGGAUGAAGGUUUUCGGAUUGUAAACUCCUUUUGUUAGAGAAGAUAAUGACGGUAUCUAACGAAUAAGCACCGGCUAACUCCGUGCCAGCAGCCGCGGUAAUACGGAGGAUGCGAGCGUUAUCCGGAUUUAUUGGGUUUAAAGGGUGCGUAGGCGGGUUAUCAAGUCAGCGGUAAAAUCGUGGAGCUCAACUCCAUCCAGCCGUUGAAACUGAUGAUCUUGAGUGGGCGAGAAGUAU
Molecule: ribosomal RNA, 305 nt
Filed under: uncultured bacterium
Lineage: Bacteria
Description: bacterial SSU rRNA
Rfam family: Bacterial small subunit ribosomal RNA
Source: RNAcentral